Molecule: long non-coding RNA, 1274 nt
Organism: Fundulus heteroclitus (mummichog)
Lineage: Eukaryota; Metazoa; Chordata; Actinopteri; Cyprinodontiformes; Fundulidae
Exons: 3
Source: RefSeq, a predicted model, not a curated record
UUUACGGUAUGUUCUGUCUGGACACUGAAGUUGGCACUAGAGAGCUCCAGUUAAGGUUACCAUGCUCUGGAGGUUAGAACUCCUACUUGGAAAGUCUUUACAAACUAAUAUGGCUGCUGCGUUUAUAAAGUACAGCACACCAUGAUGAACUGUGCAUUUACACAUAAUGACAACAGACAGGUACGGACUGCCCAUAGGUAGAAUUAGAGCAAACCACCAGCGUUGGGCACUGGUGCGUCGUUUUGCUGCGUCUCUGGAUAUAUUCACACAGCGGAGCGUUUUGUUAAUGGCAUAAUUUCUCUGGAAACCAGGAUUCCAUGAAGACAUUUUUUUUAUUUUGCGUCAACUCUUUUCUGUCCUGGUAGGACAAAAGCCAAGGAUCAGUUAUGGAACAGCUGGCCAGUAGAUUUGAUGAGUGGGCAGACAUCAACUUGCUGCAGCAGAACUAGUCAUCCGUGUGUCAAGCGUAAAUUGUGAGAGAGACUUCUCUGCAAUGAACAGGAUCAAAACUGACCUGCAAGACAAACUCCAGGAGAGCACCUGGCUGCAUGCUUGAGAAUUGCACUAAUGGACCAGCCCCUGAAGCCGCUCCAUACAUUAAAUGCAUAUGACGAUACGGGGGCUGGGAGGCAUAAGAAGGAUGUGGCUGCAAAUCAAGAUGAAGUAUAAAAAAUCAGUUUAAUCAGCUGCUUUGCGCCAUCUCGGUUGUCCGGCAACAUGAAUAACACUAAGAUAAGGGCGGUGGAGCAGCCAGUGGAGGCUAGACCGUCCCAAUUAACAAGCAGAUCUCUUCCUUGAAAAUGGGUGUGGCGAAACUGCUCUACAGCGCCACCUAAAGUGAGUUGGGGCUACUGGUAAGUCCUAAAAACUUGAAAGAAUUCAUGUAGGUAGAUCUUCCCAAAUCAUGAAAAAAAAAGUCUCUUGGGGUAUGCCCUAAAACCAACAGGGAGUCAGCCAUUUUGGGUCAAAGGUCAUUUUUGGGCCCUUUUUGACUUUUACUCACUGCAAACUUUCACGAACUUCUCCUAGGGCUUUCGAGCUAAUGACUUGGUCUGUUUGCCAUUGAGGCACGUGAGAGUAAAAGUUAUGGAAUUCAUGAGUUUCUGAAAAUGUGUAGGGGGCGUGGCCAAGGCACGAACUUGACCUUCAUAAAAACAAAUUUCAAUCCCUUAUAACCUUCCAACUGAAAGACCAAAAAACUGAAACCUGUCAUGGUGGAUGCCUGUGAGGUCCUCUACGAAAUUCUGUGGUCAAACGUCAUUAAAGCCACGCCC